This 84-nucleotide transfer RNA is filed under the name Felis catus (domestic cat). It matches the Rfam family "tRNA". From Rfam's summary of the family: Transfer RNA (tRNA) molecules are approximately 80 nucleotides in length. The record is from Rfam by way of RNAcentral. Lineage: Eukaryota; Metazoa; Chordata; Mammalia; Carnivora; Felidae.
GCCUGGGUGGCUCAGUCGAUUGAGCGUCUGACUUCAGCUCGGGUCAUGAUCUCCAGUUUGUGGGUUCAAGCCCCACAUCGGGCU